This is a long non-coding RNA of Ruditapes philippinarum (Manila clam), 2055 nucleotides long. RefSeq lists it as uncharacterized. The transcript has 3 exons. NCBI's taxonomy places the organism in Eukaryota, Metazoa, Mollusca, Bivalvia, Venerida, Veneridae. The record is from RefSeq and is a predicted model, not a curated record.
UUAAAAUAUUUACUCCAGUCCAUUUAGUUUUUCAGUAAAAUUACCUGGUUAUUAUAAUAAUAUCAAUAAAAUAUUUUCAUUUCUACCAUUUUCAACAUAAAAACUAAAAAUGAUAUUGCAUGUACAUUGAUAGAAAUAUUCAAUUUUACAAAAAAAAGAGUAAAAAUGAUAAAGUAAUCAAAUGUUAUUUAAAAAGCCGUAUACAAUAUUAUAUUACUAUCAACAGAAAUUAUGUAGAUCUCUAACAGUAACAAAAUCUGUAAUAUUACUUCCUUUUCUUGUUGUUUCCAUUUGAAUAUUAAAGGGACUUCACUGAGGUUUAAAAGCCAAUAAAAAAAAAACAAAAAAAAACAAUACAUUUAAAUGUCUUAAAUAAAUGAGCUGGGGCACUUUAAACAGAAAUAUAUGCAAAGAUAAUUAAGAAAUAUACUUUGAAAUAAAUUGAAAAUCUUUUAUUAUGCUUUUCUUAGCCCGAUUUGAGUGAAAAGUGUUUAAAUGAUUUUCAUUUUGGGCUAUUUUUUACAAUUUGAAUACUUAUUCUGGAAAAACGAAGUGUGUGAAUGAUCAAAGAUCAGUGGUCUAAACCAGUACAUCAAAUGGUACAUUUGUCUGGGGAAAAAAGUAGACCAAUUCACUUUAAUGGUUAGAAUCGACAGUACAAUUUGUUAAGUUUUAAGAUAUAAAUAAUGUAUUCCGUUUAAAACGGGUCCACUGAAGGUUUCAUAAAUCCAUAUUUUAUUUAUUCUAGAUGGUAUUUAAAAGCAUGCUUGCAAUCAAUUUCAUUUAAAAAGUUAUUUAGAUGCAAAAUUACUCACCAAGUCUUGAAGAAACAACCCGCAUGUAUAAAUGACAGCGAUUCUAACCAUCGCGUCUAUUUUACCAGUUUAACCGCAGCUUUGCGUGUAAUUAAACUACACAGGCAGUUCAAAGAGUUUCGGCGGCGACGGUCAAGCCGAUACGCUUACACGGGGGAGUCAGGUACUCGGUAUGCAAGACACAAUUUUCGUGACAGUACUAUUCUUUUAUAGAAGAAUUAAAUUAUCUUAUCUAUCGGUUAUGAAUAAUUGAAAUGUUGAUUUAUAAGAAAUAUCAUUUAAACGUUUGUAAACAUAUUGUAAUUAGACCGAACACCCCUUCAAGUGCGCGAAAAAUGAAGUCGUCCACUUUUGCGUCAUUAAGUGCCAUUGCCACAUUAUUAGCAGGACAGGGCAUUUUCGGUAGAUGGUAGAAAAAAAGCUUUUGUGUCGGAUAUAUAAUAAACUUCAAAAGGAGUUUUUAUGAUGAGGAAGGCCGAAGGGUCUAAGCCUGUUGACUCAGUCAAGAAAAAUGGAUGUGAUAGAGGAGACUGUUGAUUAUAAUUAAAACAAAAGAAGGAAAUAUUUUGUUGUUAAGAAGAUUUUUCCUAUUCAUCUCAGAGGGACAAAAACAAUUAUUUGGAUCAUGGAACAUGUGCAUAAACUUUGCAAAAGUUUUGUUGAAACUUCCAUUUGAUAAUGAAGAUGGCUGCUGAAUAUUUUUUGUGACAAUAUCUGAAUGGAUGUAAAGAGAUGUUGAGAGUUAUUGUAAUUCACACACUGACAGGUGCAAUUCAGUGCUAAAUAGUACAUCUGCAACAUGUUGAAAGAAUAAAGCUAUAACACACUUGGAAUCAUUAUGUUUUCCAUAAACCUGAACAACUAAGUUUGGUAUACUGAAGUCAGAAUGUUCAUCUGUCUAUCCUGUGACCCACUGGAGAUAUCAACAUGUUAGUGAAACUUAAUUCAUUGUAGAUGGAUAUAUCUCAUUGUGCAGAAAUGAUUUGCUGAAGCUUUAUUUUUAGCUCAACUCUUUUUUCAAAGAAAAAAACUCAAGCUGUUGCUGUUUAGCUCACCUGAACACAAGUGGUCAAGGUGAGGUAUAGUGAUGGGGCUAAGGUUGCCAUUGUGCGUGGUGGGUCGUCAACAUUUGAGUUGUUAAAACACUCUAGCAUUCACAGAUUUGAAUGGAUCAUAAUCAAUCUUUGUCAGAAUGUUUGUCUCAAUGAAAUACAGGUCAAGUUAAAUCAUCUAGGUCACA